Molecule: ribosomal RNA, 505 nt
Filed under: uncultured bacterium
Lineage: Bacteria
Description: partial 16S ribosomal RNA
Rfam family: Bacterial small subunit ribosomal RNA
Source: RNAcentral
GACGAACGCUGGCGGCGUGCCUAAUACAUGCAAGUAGAACGCACAGUUUAUACCGUAGCUUGCUACACCAUAGACUGUGAGUUGCGAACGGGUGAGUAACGCGUAGGUAACCUGCCUGGUAGCGGUGGAUAACUAUUGGACACGUUAGCUAAUACCUCAUAAUCUUAAUUAUUGCAUGAUAAUUAAUUGAAAGGUGCAAUCGCACCACUACCAGAUGGACCUGCGUUGUAUUAGCUAGUAGGUGAGGUAACGGCGCACCUAAGCGAUGAUACAGAGCCGACCCUGGGAGGGGGACCGCCAACCCGGGACUGGGACCACGCCCAGGCUCCCUCGGGGGGGAGCAGGAGGGGAACCUCGGGAAUGGACGGAAGUCUGACCGGGCCACGCCGCGUGAGUGAAGGAGGGUUUCGGGUCGUAAAACUCUGUUGUUAGGGAAGAACGGGUGUGAGAGUUGAAUGUGCACGCUGUGACGGUAUCUUACCAGAAAGGGACGGCUAACUACGUG